UACAGAGGUCUCAAGCGUUAAUCGGAAUUACUGGGCUUAAAGGGUCCGCAGGCGGACCAGCAAGUACCUUGUGAAAUCUCAGGUCUCAACCCUGAGUCUGCUAGGUAGACUGCUGCUCUUGAGUGCAAAAGGGGUCGCUGGAACUCUAGGUGGAGCGGUGAAAUGCGUAGAUAUCUAGAGGAACGCCAAAGGUGAAGACAGGCGACUGGUUUGCAACUGACGCUCAUGGACGAAAGCGUGGGGAUCAAACGGG
Molecule: ribosomal RNA, 253 nt
Filed under: uncultured bacterium
Lineage: Bacteria
Description: partial 16S ribosomal RNA
Rfam family: Bacterial small subunit ribosomal RNA
Source: RNAcentral